RNAcentral lists this ribosomal RNA (809 nucleotides) under uncultured Sphingobacteriia bacterium. RNAcentral's name for it is "bacterial SSU rRNA". It matches the Rfam family "Bacterial small subunit ribosomal RNA", at positions 62 to 865 of the family's 1533-position model. Lineage: Bacteria; Pseudomonadati; Bacteroidota; Sphingobacteriia. The record is from RNAcentral.
UCGUGGGGCAGCAGGGGCGUAGCAAUACGCUCGCUGGCGACCGGCAAACGGGUGCGGAACACGUACACAACCUUCCUUGAAGUGGGGAAUAGCCCGGGGAAACCCGGAUUAAUACCCCGUAAUAUAAUGAAGCGGCAUCGUUUUAUUAUUAAAGCUCCGGCGCUUUAAGAUGGGUGUGCGACUGAUUAGGCAGUUGGCGGGGUAACGGCCCACCAAACCUACGAUCAGUAACUGGUGUGAGAGCACGACCAGUCACACGGGCACUGAGACACGGGCCCGACUCCUACGGGAGGCAGCAGUAAGGAAUAUUGGUCAAUGGACGCAAGUCUGAACCAGCCAUGCCGCGUGGAGGAUGAAGGUCCUCUGGAUUGUAAACUUCUUUUAUCUGGGAAGAAACCCAUGAAUUCUUUUGUGGUUGACGGUACCAGAUGAAUAAGCACCGGCUAACUCCGUGCCAGCAGCCGCGGUAAUACGGAGGGUGCAAGCGUUAUCCGGAUUCACUGGGUUUAAAGGGUGCGUAGGUGGGUUGGUAAGUCAGUGGUGAAAUCUCCAGGCUUAACUUGGAAACUGCCAUUGAUACUAUCAAUCUUGAAUACCGUGGAGGUCAGCGGAAUAUGUCAUGUAGCGGUGAAAUGCUUAGAUAUGACAUAGAACACCAAUUGCGAAGGCAGCUGGCUACACGGAUAUUGACACUGAUGCACGAAAGCGUGGGGAUCAAACAGGAUUAGAUACCCUGGUAGUCCACGCCCUAAACGAUGGGUACUCGACAUACGCGAUAUACUGUGUGUGUCUGAGCGAAAGCAUUAAGU